Sycon ciliatum is the source of this 527-nucleotide long non-coding RNA. RefSeq lists it as uncharacterized. Lineage: Eukaryota; Metazoa; Porifera; Calcarea; Leucosolenida; Sycettidae. The record is from RefSeq and is a predicted model, not a curated record. The transcript is spliced from 3 exons.
CACCUUCACACCGGGCACGUCUGAGUGGAACACGGGCGCUUGGCUCUUGCCGUCGACGUGAGUCGGAACGGGAAGACCUGUGCAGGACAUGCCAGAGGUGACAAACUGACAAUGAAGACACGGACCGAGAGAGCCUGACCGGAAAUGAUGACAGAAACCCAGGGACCACGUCCGCGGUUCUGCAUACUAGUAAGCAGGUACUGCAUUCGUACCUGAACGCUGGUGCAUCGAGUACAGCUCCUGUCUACUCUUGGUCUUGAUACCUGAUUGAACGGCGCAAGCAAGGAGCAUCUGAAUGGGCCAGUAAUUUGCCAACGCUUUGCCAGCAAACAAGAUGGACUGUUACUUCUGAACAACAUCGUACUUGGGAAAUUGGGAAAAGGACGCGUUCUUCACGCCGGGAGAGUCGGAUUUAAAGACCGGCGCUUGACUGUUACCGUCAACAUUGCUUGGUGCAGGAAGACCUUUGGAAGGAAAACACGAGCAACACAGAAAUAGACAUGCCGAUUGGCUGGGUUGCUCUUUGC